CGUACUUUUUGUAGAACGGGCCAACGAGUUACGUUAAGUAGCAAGGUUAAGCACUUAAGGUGCGGAGCCGUAGCGAAAGCGAGUUUUAACUGAGCGUUCAGUUACUUGACGUAGACCCGAAACCGGGCGACCUACCCAUGAGCAGGAUGAAGCGAAAGUAAAAUUUCGUGGAGGUCCGAACCCACGAGCGUUGAAAAGCUCGGGGAUGACUUGUGGGUAGCGGUGAAAUUCCAAUCGAGCCCGGAGAUAGCUGGUUCUCCCCGAAAUAGCUUUAGGGCUAGCCUCAAGGUGAGAGAUACGGAGGUAGAGCACUGAAUGUCCUAGGGGGUAUUGCACCUACCGAAGACUAUCAAACUCCGAAUGCCGUCAUCUUAUACUUGGGAGUCAGACUGUGGGUGAUAAGAUUCAUAGUCGAAAGGGCAACAGCCCAGAUCGUCAGCUAAGGUCCCUAAAUGUAAGUUAAGUGGUAAAGGAUGUGGGAUUGCACAGACAACCAGGAUGUUGGCUUAGAAGCAGCCACUCAUUCAAAGAGUGCGUAAUAGCUCACUGGUCGAGUGAUCCUGCGCCGAAGAUUUCCGGGGCUAAAACUUACUACCGAAGCUACGGCAUCAGUAAUGAUGGGUAGGGGAGCUUCCCAUACGGGUUGAAGCAUGACCGUAAGGACAUGUGGACAGUAUGGGAGUGAGAAUGUUGGCAUGAGUAGCGAGAUGUGGGUGAGAAUCCCACAGGCCGUAAACCCAAGGUUUCCAGGGGAAGGUUCGUCCGCCCUGGGUUAGUCGGGACCUAAGCUGAGGCCGAAAGGCGUAGGUGAUGGACAACAGGUUGAUAUUCCUGUACUACCGAUAACCGUUUGAGAGAAGGGAUGACACAGUAGGAUAAGCUAAGCACACUGUUGGUUAUGUGUGCCCAAGCAUUGAGGCAGUCAAAGUAGGCAAAUCCGCUUUGAUAAUGCUGGGAUGUGAUGGGGAGCGAAAUUUAGUAGCGAAGUAGCUGAUUUCACACUGUCAAGAAAAGUCUCUAUCGAGGUUAAAGGUACCCGUACCGCAAACCGACACAGGUGGGUGAGGAGAGUAUCCUAAGGCCAGCGAGAGAACUGUUGUUAAGGAACUCGGCAAAAUGACCCCGUAACUUAGGGAUAAGGGGUGCCACCAUCAGGUGGCCGCAGAGAAUAGGCCCAAGCGACUGUUUACCAAAAACAUAGGUUUCUGCUAAGUCGCAAGACGAUGUAUAGGAGCUGACGCCUGCCCGGUGCUGGAAGGUUAAGGGGAUCUGUUAGAGCAAUCGAAGCAGUGAACUUAAGCCCCAGUAAACGGCGGCCGUAACUAUAACGGUCCUAAGGUAGCGAAAUUCCUUGUCGGGUAAGUUCCGACCCGCACGAAAGGCGUAACGAUUUGGGCACUGUCUCAACAACAGACUCGGUGAAAUUGUAAUUCCGGUGAAGAUGCCGGAUACCUGCGACAGGACGGAAAGACCCCAUGGAGCUUUACUGUAGCUUGACAUUGGGUCUUGGUACUACAUGUACAGGAUAGGUGGGAGGCUUUGAAACCAGGACGCCAGUUUUGGCGGAGCCAUCCUUGGGAUACCACCCUUGUAGUACUGGGACUCUAACCAUAGGCCAUGAAUCUGGUCUUGGGACACUGUCAGGUGGGCAGUUUGACUGGGGCGGUCGCCUCCCAAAAGGUAACGGAGGCGCUCAAAGGUUCUCUCAGUACGGUCGGAAAUCGUACGUAGAGUGUAAAGGCAAAAGAGAGCUUGAUUGCAAGACAUACAGGUCGAGCAAGGAUGAAAAUCGGACUUAGUGAUCCGGUGGUUCUGCGUGGAAGGGCCAUCGCUCAACGGAUAAAAGCUACCCUGGGGAUAACAGGCUUAUCUCCCCCAAGAGUCCACAUCGACGGGGAGGUUUGGCACCUCGAUGUCGGCUCAUCACAUCCUGGGGCUGUAGUAGGUCCCAAGGGUUGGGCUGUUCGCCCAUUAAAGUGGUACGCGAGCUGGGUUCAGAACGUCGUGAGACAGUUCGGUCCCUAUCCGUCGCAGGCGUAGGAAAUUUGAGAAGACCUGUCCUUAGUACGAGAGGACCGGGAUGGACGUACCUCUGGUGUACCAGUUGUUCUGCCAAGGGCAUGGCUGGGUAGCUAUGUACGGAAUGGAUAAGCGCUGAAAGCAUCUAAGCGCGAAGCCAACUUCAAGAUAAGAUUUCCCACCG
This 2203-nucleotide ribosomal RNA is filed under the name Clostridioides difficile. RNAcentral's name for it is "partial 23S ribosomal RNA". It matches the Rfam family "Bacterial large subunit ribosomal RNA", at positions 600 to 2819 of the family's 2925-position model. The record is from RNAcentral. Lineage: Bacteria; Bacillati; Bacillota; Clostridia; Peptostreptococcales; Peptostreptococcaceae.